Molecule: ribosomal RNA, 774 nt
Filed under: uncultured Neocallimastigales
Lineage: Eukaryota; Fungi; Neocallimastigomycota; Neocallimastigomycetes; Neocallimastigales
Description: partial large subunit ribosomal RNA
Rfam family: Eukaryotic large subunit ribosomal RNA
Source: RNAcentral
CGCAUCUGUGCAUGCAGCAUAUCAAUAAGCGGAGGAAAAGAAACUAACAAGGAUUCCCUUAGUAACGGCGAGUGAAGCGGGAAGAGCUCAAAUUUGAAAUCUUCAAGGUUUUACCUUGACGAAUUGUAGUUUAAAGAAGUGUUUUCUGUUGAAGUUUUGGUAAAAGUUCUUUGGAAUAGGACAUCAUAGAGGGUGAGGAUCCCGUAUUUGACCAUUAUUUUCAGCUGUGUGAUACACUUUCAAAGAGUCGGAUUGUUUGGGAAUGCAGUCCAAAAUGGGUGGUAAAUUUCAUCUAAAGCUAAAUAUUGGCGAGAGACCGAUAGCGAACAAGUACCGUGAAGGAAAGAUGAAGAGAACUUUGAAAAGAGAGUUAAACAGUACGUGAAAUUGUCAAAAGGGAAGCGUUUGACACCAGUGUUGUUUUCUCGAAAAUCAAUUAAAAAGAGUUUGAUUUUGUUGUGUAUUGACCUUAACAGCUUGCAUUUCAAUUUUCUUGCUUUUUUUAAUGCACUUUUCGUUUAACAAGUCAACAUCAGUUUCUUUUGUUGUAAAAGGUCAUUGGAAGGUGGCUUUCUUUUCGGAGAAAGUGUUUAUAGCCUUUGAUCUCUGCAAUCCGGAGAGACUGAGGUCUGCAGCGUAGACUCUUCGGGGUUAGAUACAUUUGUGCUAAGCUAUAGCUUUUUAUAGACAACUUGUUGACUAUGAUUUAGUCUUGUAGCUUACUCGCUUAUGCUAUUUUACCUACGCUUAGGAUGUUGAUGUGAUACUGCGAGC